UUUUUUUUUUUUUUUUUUUUUUUUUUUUUUUUUUAGAUUUUACCCUGCAUUAGCGUAUCCCUCUUCCUGUCACCUUUUCUCCAAGUUCCUUUCAAGGAAAUCUGUUCUGUUAAGUGUAUGCCAGUUUAUGUGAAUUCCGUGGUGAGCCACAGUUGAAAAAAAAAAAAAAGAAACAAACCACACACAACUUUGUUUAGCCAUCUCGGAAGUGUUUGGAACUACAUUAAUCUUCGUGGUCCUUCUCUAACUUAAGCCGAAGUAAAAUGCUGCAAGUAGGAGCUCCCCAUCAUGUUGCUGGAUACACAUACAAAAAUCUAAUAUACUGUUUACGAUAUACUCCCUACAAAAUGUGAGCACAUACCUGCUGUGCCUUGGUAUGUUUUGGACAGUUAUGCUGGGGGUAUGUGGAAGACAUUUCAAAGUUUUUGUAGGAUACCAAUUUAUUUAGAAGAUAAUAAGCAUUUGUCAUUUCAACAAGCAAUUUUUAAUAAAACAAAGGCCCUCCAAUUCUUAAAAUUCUGGUGUUAUGCAGGAACCUAAGGAAUGUCAGGGAACUGAGAGUACAGUUUCAGUGUUCUAGCAGUGUAUUCCUUACCCGUGCCAUUCGAUGGACAAUUUAAAACAAAUCAGACUAUUAAGUUACAUUAUGAAAAGCAAAAUUGAAUUACCCUUAUCUACAAAGUUUUGUCAUACAGUAGAAAAGAAAACGAUAUUUUGAACUAAUUUAACUGUAAUUUAACACCAGAAGCUUAAUAUAAGGGAUUUUAUUCCCCUCCAGAGGUCUCUCUGUAUACUGCUGUGCACAGAUGUGAUAGAAAAGAAUGAGUCAGCUUGGCUAUAUAAUAAAUAAUUCACUUUACAUAACUCAUUCGUGUUCUUCAGGGCAUCCAGUCAGUGAACGAGGCGAUCCAGCCCCUUCAGUAUAGAGAGGCAACAGCAUUCUUCCAAGUAGGAGUAUCUUUCAUACGGAGCAAGUCUGUAGAGUGGAAUUAGCUCUUCAGUCUGUGGGAGAGAACUGAGGAUGAGUAUGGUAGCAGACUCCAUCAGUCAUACAGAGAAUAGUCCGUUGUUAUUUACUGUUUUCUUACAGAAGCAGAGCAACAAGGUAUUGAGAAUGCAGAUUCAAAAUAAACAAAGCAUCAUUCCACACACAAAGUUUUGGAAUUUGUCAGCUAAAGAGUUUUCUGGCUACCAGAACUGAUGUGAGUAGCAUCUGUUUGGUGGUGUGCGUUACCUGGGGUGCUGCUCCUGUCAAACUGUGUGGAGAUUUUUCUUCAGGUGGGGCCUCUGUGCAGUACUGCUGAUACACCUGUGAGCUGUACACACUCGUGGCACGUCACGAGGUACAUCAAUACUACAUGCUGUGUGUUUGUGCCUUCCCUGAGAGUUAGAUCUGCUGGGUAUUUAGAGGCAAAGAGUGAGUAAGUAGACUUGGCUUUUUUGACAGGAUUAAUCACCAGAUCUUUUAAGACUUGUUACCGUACUCGGAUGUGUGCAUGCAGCUAGAUUCCACAGAUUCAGAAUUAUUUUCUAACAUUGUGGGAACAUCUAAACUAAGUGCAAGUACCUAGAAAUAAUGUGUGCUGUUUACCCUCCUAAAAAAUCCCAGUAAAACAGUGGCUUCACGGGACUUGCUACAGUAAGGACAAUUAUUUGUAACACUCCAUCAGAAGUGGUUAGGAAAACAUCAAGAUAUUGUCUACUCAGUACCUAGAAAUACUGGAAGAUACUUAAAUUUUCCUGCAUUAUUUAGGGAAGACAAGAAAAAUUUUUGCAUAUCUCUCAAGUGAAGCAGUUGUCUAUUAGCCUGCCUUGAUUGUCUGUUACAGGAAUAUGUAUGCAAAGUUGUAGUCAGUCUGUUGAGAUGAUUUUUUCUAAUCAGAUGCAAGUUUGUCAUUGCUGCCUUCUGCUUUAACCAGAGAAGGGAAGUAAAACAUCAAACUGAGAAAUACUGUGAAUUUAAAGCUGAACAUAUUGCUUAUUACAAGCAGUCCCUGAUACAUUCUUUCCUUAUUUCAGUACAUUUUCUGGUCAGUGCUUUGAUUUUUCAGCAUUUUAGUUUACAGACAGUCUGGUAAGUUGUUGCCAAAUUGGUAUUUUGUCAACAUUACAUAGAGAGCUGCUCAGAAAUGAAAUUUGCGUUUACUUUCUUCCCUCUGACCCCCUAUCUGAUCGCUUGUAUUGCCUCAUUUGGGAUGUCUACGCCG
Long non-coding RNA from Gallus gallus (chicken), 2207 nucleotides. Lineage: Eukaryota; Metazoa; Chordata; Aves; Galliformes; Phasianidae. The record is from Ensembl.